This 459-nucleotide ribosomal RNA is filed under the name Marphysa mossambica. RNAcentral's name for it is "partial 16S ribosomal RNA". It matches the Rfam family "Bacterial large subunit ribosomal RNA", at positions 1851 to 2573 of the family's 2925-position model. Lineage: Eukaryota; Metazoa; Annelida; Polychaeta; Eunicida; Eunicidae. The record is from RNAcentral.
GGUACACCCUGCCCAGUGUUAUUAUCAACGGCCGCGGUACCCUGACCGUGCAAAGGUAGCAUAAUAAUUUGCCUUUUAAUUAAAGGCUAGCAUGAAAGGGCAAACGAGAAUAAAGCUGUCUCACCUAUACGCCUAAAAAUUUAUCCUCAGGUGAAGAAGCCUGAAUAUAUAUAAAAGACAAGAAGACCCCGUCGAGCUUUAGUUUAAUGUGCUGACUCCAAACACUGCCACUACUACAAUUCACUCAUAAACUUUUGUUGGGGCGACAACGGAACACAAUAAACUUCCGACCUACCAAAGACCAUACGUCACUCAAAUGAUCCUUAAAUGACCACAAGAACCAGCUACCGCAGGGAUAACAGACUAAUCUUCCUCCGGAGCCCAAAUCUACAGGAAGGCUUGGCACCUCGAUGUUGGCUUAGGAAUAUCCCCUAGAUGAAGCAGUCUAGGAAGUGGGUU